GGUUAAGCGACUAAGCGUACACGGUGGAUGCCCUGGCAGUCAGAGGCGAUGAAGGGCGUGCUAAUCUGCGAUAAGCGCCGGUAAGGUGAUAUGAACCGUUAUAACCGGCGAUACCCGAAUGGGGAAACCCAGUGUGACUCGUCACACUAUCAUUAACUGAAUCCAUAGGUUAAUGAGGCGAACCGGGGGAACUGAAACAUCUAAGUACCCCGAGGAAAAGAAAUCAACCGAGAUUCCCCCAGUAGCGGCGAGCGAACGGGGAGGAGCCCAGAGCCUGAAUCAGCAUGUGUGUUAGUGGAAGCGUCUGGAAAGGCGCGCGAUACAGGGUGACAGCCCCGUACACAAAAGCGCAUGUGCUGUGAGCUCGAUGAGUAGGGCGGGACACGUGGUAUCCUGUCUGAAUAUGGGGGGACCAUCCUCCAAGGCUAAAUACUCCUGACUGACCGAUAGUGAACCAGUACCGUGAGGGAAAGGCGAAAAGAACCCCGGCGAGGGGAGUGAAAAAGAACCUGAAACCGUGUACGUACAAGCAGUGGGAGCACAGGUUUACCUGUGUGACUGCGUACCUUUUGUAUAAUGGGUCAGCGACUUAUAUUCUGUAGCAAGGUUAACCGUAUAGGGGAGCCGUAGGGAAACCGAGUCUUAACCGGGCGUUAAGUUGCAGGGUAUAGACCCGAAACCCGGUGAUCUAGCCAUGGGCAGGUUGAAGGUUGGGUAACACUAACUGGAGGACCGAACCGACUAAUGUUGAAAAAUUAGCGGAUGACCUGUGGCUGGGGGUGAAAGGCCAAUCAAACCGGGAGAUAGCUGGUUCUCCCCGAAAGCUAUUUAGGUAGCGCCUCGUGAAUUCAUCUCCGGGGGUAGAGCACUGUUUCGGCUAGGGGGCCAUCCCGGCUUACCAACCCGAUGCAAACUGCGAAUACCGGAGAAUGUUAUCACGGGAGACACACGGCGGGUGCUAACGUCCGUCGUGAAGAGGGAAACAACCCAGACCGCCAGCUAAGGUCCCAAAGUCAUGGUUAAGUGGGAAACGAUGUGGGAAGGCCCAGACAGCCAGGAUGUUGGCUUAGAAGCAGCCAUCAUUUAAAGAAAGCGUAAUAGCUCACUGGUCGAGUCGGCCUGCGCGGAAGAUGUAACGGGGCUAAACCAUGCACCGAAGCUGCGGCAGCGACGCUGAUGCGUUGUUGGGUAGGGGAGCGUUCUGUAAGCCUGCGAAGGUGGCCUGUGAGGGUUGCUGGAGGUAUCAGAAGUGCGAAUGCUGACAUAAGUAACGAUAAAGCGGGUGAAAAGCCCGCUCGCCGGAAGACCAAGGGUUCCUGUCCAACGUUAAUCGGGGCAGGGUGAGUCGACCCCUAAGGCGAGGCCGAAAGGCGUAGUCGAUGGGAAACGGGUUAAUAUUCCCGUACUUGGUGUUACUGCGAAGGGGGGACGGAGAAGGCUAUGUUGGCCGGGCGACGGUUGUCCCGGUUUAAGCGUGUAGGUGUGUGUUCCAGGUAAAUCCGGUUCACUUUAACACUGAGGCGUGAUGACGAGGCACUACGGUGCUGAAGCAACAAAUGCCCUGCUUCCAGGAAAAGCCUCUAAGCAUCAGGUAACAUCAAAUCGUACCCCAAACCGACACAGGUGGUCAGGUAGAGAAUACCAAGGCGCUUGAGAGAACUCGGGUGAAGGAACUAGGCAAAAUGGUGCCGUAACUUCGGGAGAAGGCACGCUGACACGUAGGUGAAGUGAUUUACUCACGGAGCUGAAGUCAGUCGAAGAUACCAGCUGGCUGCAACUGUUUAUUAAAAACACAGCACUGUGCAAACACGAAAGUGGACGUAUACGGUGUGACGCCUGCCCGGUGCCGGAAGGUUAAUUGAUGGGGUCAGCGCAAGCGAAGCUCCUGAUCGAAGCCCCGGUAAACGGCGGCCGUAACUAUAACGGUCCUAAGGUAGCGAAAUUCCUUGUCGGGUAAGUUCCGACCUGCACGAAUGGCGUAAUGAUGGCCAGGCUGUCUCCACCCGAGACUCAGUGAAAUUGAACUCGCUGUGAAGAUGCAGUGUACCCGCGGCAAGACGGAAAGACCCCGUGAACCUUUACUAUAGCUUGACACUGAACAUUGAGCCUUGAUGUGUAGGAUAGGUGGGAGGCUUUGAAGUGUGGACGCCAGUCUGCAUGGAGCCGACCUUGAAAUACCACCCUUUAAUGUUUGAUGUUCUAACGUGGACCCGUAAUCCGGGUUGCGGACAGUGUCUGGUGGGUAGUUUGACUGGGGCGGUCUCCUCCUAAAGAGUAACGGAGGAGCACGAAGGUUGGCUAAUCCUGGUCGGACAUCAGGAGGUUAGUGCAAUGGCAUAAGCCAGCUUGACUGCGAGCGUGACGGCGCGAGCAGGUGCGAAAGCAGGUCAUAGUGAUCCGGUGGUUCUGAAUGGAAGGGCCAUCGCUCAACGGAUAAAAGGUACUCCGGGGAUAACAGGCUGAUACCGCCCAAGAGUUCAUAUCGACGGCGGUGUUUGGCACCUCGAUGUCGGCUCAUCACAUCCUGGGGCUGAAGUAGGUCCCAAGGGUAUGGCUGUUCGCCAUUUAAAGUGGUACGCGAGCUGGGUUUAGAACGUCGUGAGACAGUUCGGUCCCUAUCUGCCGUGGGCGCUGGAGAACUGAGGGGGGCUGCUCCUAGUACGAGAGGACCGGAGUGGACGCAUCACUGGUGUUCGGGUUGUCAUGCCAAUGGCACUGCCCGGUAGCUAAAUGCGGAAGAGAUAAGUGCUGAAAGCAUCUAAGCACGAAACUUGCCCCGAGAUGAGUUCUCCCUGAGACUUAAAGUCUCCUGAAGGAACGUUGAAGACGACGACGUUGAUAGGCCGGGUGUGUAAGCGCAGCGAUGCGUUGAGCUAACCGGUACUAAUGAACCGUGAGGCUUAACCUU
RNAcentral lists this ribosomal RNA (2908 nucleotides) under Salmonella enterica subsp. enterica. Its description in RNAcentral is "23S ribosomal RNA". It matches the Rfam family "Bacterial large subunit ribosomal RNA". The record is from RNAcentral. Lineage: Bacteria; Pseudomonadati; Pseudomonadota; Gammaproteobacteria; Enterobacterales; Enterobacteriaceae. RNAcentral also lists the same sequence under 1 other name.